This is a small nuclear RNA of Sciurus vulgaris (Eurasian red squirrel), 105 nucleotides long. NCBI's taxonomy places the organism in Eukaryota, Metazoa, Chordata, Mammalia, Rodentia, Sciuridae. The record is from Ensembl.
GUGCUUGCUUUGGCAGCACAUAUACUAAAAAUGAAACAAUGUAGAGAAGAUUAGCAUGGCCUUGCACCAGGAUGAAGGCAAACUCAGGAACUAUGCCAUAUUUAA